RNAcentral lists this transfer RNA (91 nucleotides) under Betaproteobacteria bacterium. RNAcentral describes it as "tRNA-Leu". It matches the Rfam family "tRNA". From Rfam's summary of the family: Transfer RNA (tRNA) molecules are approximately 80 nucleotides in length. Their secondary structure includes four short double-helical elements and three loops (D, anti-codon, and T loops). Lineage: Bacteria; Pseudomonadati; Pseudomonadota; Betaproteobacteria. RNAcentral also lists the same sequence under 1 other name. The record is from RNAcentral.
GCCCAGGUGGUGAAACUGGUAGACACAGCGGACUUAAAAUCCGCCGAUGCCGAAAGGCGUCGUGCCGGUUCGAUUCCGGCCCUGGGCACCA